RNAcentral lists this ribosomal RNA (454 nucleotides) under uncultured bacterium. Its description in RNAcentral is "bacterial SSU rRNA". It matches the Rfam family "Bacterial small subunit ribosomal RNA", at positions 340 to 786 of the family's 1533-position model. The record is from RNAcentral.
UACGGAAGGCAGCAGUGGGGAAUAUUGCACAAUGGGCGCAAGCCUGAUGCAGCCAUGCCGCGUGUAUGAAGAAGGCCUUCGGGUUGUAAAGUACUUUCAGUCGUGAGGAAGGUGUUAAGGUUAAUAACCUUAGCAAUUGACGUUAGCGACAGAAGAAGCACCGGCUAACUCCGUGCCAGCAGCCGCGGUAAUACGGAGGGUGCGAGCGUUAAUCGGAAUUACUGGGCGUAAAGGGCACGCAGGCGGUUAAUUAAGUUGGAUGUGAAAUCCCCGGGCUUAACCUGGGAAUGGCAUUCAAGCUGGUUAGCUAGAGUCUUGUAGAGGGGGUAGAAUUCCAUGUGUAGCGGUGAAAUGCGUAGAGAUGUGGAGGAAUACCGGUGGCGAAGGCGGUCCCCUGGACAAAGGACUGACGCUCAUGUGCGAAAGCGUGGGGAGCAAACAGGGAUUAGAUACC